Molecule: long non-coding RNA, 382 nt
Filed under: Homo sapiens (human)
Lineage: Eukaryota; Metazoa; Chordata; Mammalia; Primates; Hominidae
Description: non-protein coding lnc-NEIL2-1:2
Source: RNAcentral
AUGCCUAAAUCAAAGGAACUUGUUUCUUCAAGCUCUUCUGGCAGUGAUCCUGACAGUGAGGUUGACAAAAAGUUAAAGAGGAAAAAGCAAGUUGCUCCAGAAAAACCUGUAAAGAAGCAAAAGACAGGUGAAACUUCGAGAGCUCUGUCAUCUUCUAAACAGAGCGGCAGCAGCAGAGAUGAUAACAAGUUUCAGAUUGGGAAAAUGAGGUACGUUAGCGUUGGAGAUUUUAAAGGGAAAGUGCUAAUUGAUACUAGAGAAUAUUGGAUGGAUCCUGAAGGCGAAAUGAAACCAGGAAGAAAAGGUAUUGCUUUAAAUCCAGAACAAUGGAGCCAGCUGAAGGAACAGAUUUCUGUCAUUGAUGAUGCAGUAAGAAAACUGU